AGUGAACGCUGGCGGUAGGCCUAACACAUGCAAGUCGAACGGCAGCACAGUAAGAGCUUGCUCUUACGGGUGGCGAGUGGCGGACGGGUGAGGAAUACAUCGGAAUCUACUUUUUCGUGGGGGAUAACGUAGGGAAACUUACGCUAAUACCGCAUACGACCUACGGGUGAAAGUAGGGGAUCUUCGGACCUUGCGCGAUUGAAUGAGCCGAUGUCGGAUUAGCUAGUUGGCGGGGUAAAGGCCCACCAAGGCGACGAUCCGUAGCUGGUCUGAGAGGAUGAUCAGCCACACUGGAACUGAGACACGGUCCAGACUCCUACGGGAGGCAGCAGUGAGGAAUAUUGGACAAUGGGCGCAAGCCUGAUCCAGCCAUACCGCGUGGGUGAAGAAGGCCUUCGGGUUGUAAAGCCCUUUUGUUGGGAAAGAAAAGCAGCAGGUUAAUACCCCGCUGUUCUGACGGUACCCAAAGAAUAAGCACCGGCUAACUUCGUG
This 492-nucleotide ribosomal RNA is filed under the name uncultured bacterium. RNAcentral's name for it is "partial 16S ribosomal RNA". It matches the Rfam family "Bacterial small subunit ribosomal RNA", at positions 29 to 507 of the family's 1533-position model. The record is from RNAcentral.